This 314-nucleotide long non-coding RNA is filed under the name Salmo salar (Atlantic salmon). RNAcentral describes it as "lncRNA (ENSSSAG00000116041.1)". Lineage: Eukaryota; Metazoa; Chordata; Actinopteri; Salmoniformes; Salmonidae. The record is from RNAcentral.
CUACAACCCCAGAGGUCAUAUUCUAGUCUGGUCUGUCUCUCUACUACAACCCCAGAGGUCAUAUUCUAGUCUGGUCUGUCUCUCUACUACAACCCCAGAGGUCAUACUCUAGUCUGGUCUGUCUCUCUACUACAACCCCAGAGGUCAUAUUCUAGUCUGGUCUGUCUCUCAUCAACAACCCCAGAGGUCAUAUUCUAGUCUGGUCUGUCUCUCAUCAACAACCCCAGAGGUCAUAUUCUAGUCUGGUCUGUCUCUCAUCAACAACCCCAGAGGUCAUAUUCUAGUCUGUCUGUCUCUCAUCAACAACCCCAGAG